RNAcentral lists this ribosomal RNA (497 nucleotides) under uncultured bacterium. RNAcentral's name for it is "partial 16S ribosomal RNA". It matches the Rfam family "Bacterial small subunit ribosomal RNA", at positions 28 to 507 of the family's 1533-position model. The record is from RNAcentral.
GAUGAACGCUGGCGGCGUGCCUAAUACAUGCAAGUCGAGCGAACGGACGAGAAGCUUGCUUCUCUGAUGUUAGCGGCGGACGGGCGAGUAACACGUGGAUAACCUACCUAUAAGACUGGGAGAACUUCGGGAAACCGUAGCUAAUACCGGAUAAUAUUUUGAACCGCAUGGUUCAAAAGUGAAAGACGGUCUUGCUGUCACUUAUAGAUGGAGCCGCGCUGCAUUAGCUAGUUGGUAAGGUAACGGCUUACCAAGGCAACGAUGCAUAGCCGACCUGAGAGGGUGAUCGGCCACACUGGAACUGAGACACGGUCCAGACUCCUACGGGAGGCAGCAGUAGGGAAUCUUCCGCAAUGGGCGAAAGCCUGACGGAGCCACGCCGCGUGAGUGAUGAAGGUCUUCGGAUCGUAAAGCUCUGUUAUUAGGGAAGAACAUAUGUGUAAGUAACUGUGCACAUCUUGACGGUACCUAAUCAGAAAGCCACGGCUAACUACGUG